CGGACAUUUGCAUACCUGGUUGUAGUCGAACCAAAUUGUUAUGUUUUUUAAAUCAAUUGGUCCCCUUCAACCAGCUAUGUUUCUCCUGCUGU
Molecule: microRNA precursor, 92 nt
Filed under: Loa loa (African eye worm)
Lineage: Eukaryota; Metazoa; Nematoda; Chromadorea; Rhabditida; Onchocercidae
Description: mir-133 microRNA precursor family
Source: RNAcentral